RNAcentral lists this long non-coding RNA (278 nucleotides) under Brassica napus (rape). RNAcentral's name for it is "long non-coding RNA (BNAP_LNC002678)". The record is from RNAcentral. Lineage: Eukaryota; Viridiplantae; Streptophyta; Magnoliopsida; Brassicales; Brassicaceae.
GCCCAUAACUUACAGUGUAUCCCAAAUAAUUUAAUACCCUUGUUAUAAUUUUCUAGUGUGUAUGACCUGAAUUACUUGUAUAACGACUUAAUACGUUUACCGUAUGCACUAAAUUGGAUCAUGUAGAAUUGGUUAAGUACAUUAGACUUCCAAUGACCCUUUCAUACUCCACUUCGACACUGACUCGCCUACAUUUUUAGUUAAUUGAUGUUGAGUCUCUACUGGCGUUUUUUUUUUUUUUGAAAUUUUAUUUGAGUAGUUUUAGGCUUAUAAUUUCU